UAACAUUUUUUCCUUAGUUUGUGUUUGCUCAUUGUUAAAAGAACUUCAAUUGUCUAUAACUUUAUUUACUCAUAAUUUUUGUAGAAUCUUCCAGUAGUUUAAAUUCUAUCUGGGUAACUAAUAUAUGUACCGUAUUUAUAACUUUUAGAAACAUGAAUACACGAUGUUUUGACAAUAUAAAGACAAAGAUAUAACUUAAUAUAUAAUCUGAGCCUAAUUUCAAAAAAAAAAAAAAACUUAAUAUAAAAUCUGAUGAGGUUAUCUAUAUUACUUCGAUGUCCAAAUAUAAUAACCGAUACAAUAUGAGAAUAUUCAAAGUUCAUGUAUGUGUGUUGUAACGCCUGAUUAGAUAACUAUGGCCUGAACCAUAUUAAUACAGUCUCU
This 384-nucleotide long non-coding RNA is filed under the name Capsella rubella. Its description in RNAcentral is "long non-coding RNA (CRUB_LNC001523)". Lineage: Eukaryota; Viridiplantae; Streptophyta; Magnoliopsida; Brassicales; Brassicaceae. The record is from RNAcentral.